ACACACCACCACUCCCUGUCCCUCUGGAGGGCCACUGGUCCUGCCACAUUGGACUCAGCUGUCAGCUGCAGAAGCCCACAAACACUGGGCAUGUUACCUAAGCAGAACCCUGCAAAGUUCCAAGCCAGGCUCAUGACUCAGUGGGGGAAGCAGUGUUUCUCCCUGAAUCAGCCCCAGCCAGGCCACAUCUGAGGCUUAGCCCAGCCAAGAGUCCAGCCACUGCCCAGCUGCCUGUGGACACACGGGCCCUGUGCUGUCUCAGCUGAGAGGUCCCCAUCUACUGACUCACUCGCACCUGGGGCUUCUUGGCUGGUCAUCUGGAAAGGUACAAACUGAAGUUUUCUUUAUCCAAGGCAAUCUUUUAGAAGUCACCCUACGUUUCUUCAAAGUGUCUGGACGCAGUGUGGAGCGUGGUUUAUUUCGUCCAUGUUGCGGCAGCCUGUGUUGGAACUCGCUGAGGUUUGAAGCCUGUCAUCAACAUACAGACUGACAUGAACUUUCAAUGGGAGUCACAGAGGGCUGUACGGGCAAACAGGAGAAAUGACAGGGUACCAAAGACCGCCCUGUCAGCUGAAGGGCACCCUGGAUGCCUGUCUCUGAGCCCUCACACUCCUGUAACCUGUGAAGAGUGGGCAAGCAGAACAGGUGAUGGGUCAUGCAUCUUCCUGACACACUGUGAAGCAGGAAGAAACAGGAACAGUAGCUCUGUGUUACACGUGAGGAGCGAGAAGCACCAACAUGGUUGCUGUCCUGGAACUCACAAAGCAGGCUGCCUGGGCUUGCCAGGGAAGCCCCAGGAAUCUGCCUGUCUCCAUCGUCAUCUCCCCAGUACUGGAGUUACAAGUGUGAGCCAACGCAACUGGCCUUUUCCCAUUGGCUCUGGGGAUGGACUCAGAUCCUCAGGCACUUGCCUGACUGGGCUUCCCUCUUCAGCCCCUUUCUUCCACAAUUCUUAGAUCAUUAUAAGUAAAACGUUAUUAGUGAAUAUGUAUCAUGUUUUUCUCAUGUAUUAUUGUUGUAUUAUUAUAUACGGAUAUAUCAUCAGAGACUCAUAAGAAUAUAAAAGAAAAAGUUACAGUUAUAUGCUCAGACAUUAGCAUUGGUUGUAACUGAUGUUGAGAUUGGAGAACAUUAUUUCCUUAUUUUGUGUUCUCUUAUACAUAACUUUGUAACACAAACAACAAAGACACUGCAAACAUGGAUCUGGCACAGGGUACUUCCCUGACUUAAGUACAAAAAAGAAAUUAAAUUUAAUAUCUAAAGUUCCUGAAAAUAUUUUAUAGUCACACAGCAUGGACCAAGUCUGUUUCAGUAAGUUAUAAAAAGUGCUUUUUGAUUAAUAAUUUUCUUCCCAUUAUAUUCUCUGAUAGUACUGAGGAUUAAGAUAAAGAGAAAUAAUUAUUUCUUGUACAGGGAUGUGUGCUCUGUUUCGGAUGAUUGACCAGCAAGCCCCAAGGAUCUGCCUGUCUCCACCACCCCUCGACCUCCUAGCAUUGGAACUGCAGACAGGAGCUGACACACCCAGGCUUUCACAUGGAUGCUAAGAAUGAUCUAACUCAGGUCUCAGGCUUCCACUGCAAGUGUUGCACCCACUGAGCCAUCCAUCCCGCCCCCUCUACUCUUCGGAAGUUUCCAACCCUAAUAUGGUUUCCGACAAUUGUGUCCAACAAUAAAUAUGUUUUGCUUUAGGGAGGAAA
RNAcentral lists this long non-coding RNA (1697 nucleotides) under Mus musculus (house mouse). RNAcentral's name for it is "predicted gene 8883". The record is from RNAcentral. Lineage: Eukaryota; Metazoa; Chordata; Mammalia; Rodentia; Muridae.